UUGGGCUAUGGGGACAUGUACCCCCAGACAUGGUCAGGCAUGGUUGUGGGUGCUCUAUGUGCUCUGGCGGGUGUGCUGACCAUUGCCAUGCCCGUGCCCGUCAUUGUCAACAAU
Molecule: regulatory RNA element, 114 nt
Organism: Lepisosteus oculatus (spotted gar)
Lineage: Eukaryota; Metazoa; Chordata; Actinopteri; Semionotiformes; Lepisosteidae
Rfam family: Potassium channel RNA editing signal
About the family: This family represents a group of sequences related to the human potassium channel Kv1.1 hairpin element which directs the efficient modification of an adenosine to inosine by an adenosine deaminase acting on RNA (ADAR). The ADAR modification causes an isoleucine/valine recoding event which lies in the ion-conducting pore of the potassium channel.
Source: Rfam